GACGAACCGUCCGAACGUUAUUCGGAAUCACUGGGCUUAAAGGGUGCGUAGGCGGCGCGGAAAGUUGGGUGUGAAAUCCCUCGGCUCAACCGAGGAACUGCGCCCAAUACUACCGUGCUCGAGGGAGAUAGAGGUGAGCGGAACUUAGGGUGGAGCGGUGAAAUGCGUUGAUAUCCUAAGGAACACCGGUGGCGAAAGCGGCGCGCUGGACCCCAUCUGACGCUGAGGCGCGAAAGCCAGGGGAGCAAACGGG
Molecule: ribosomal RNA, 253 nt
Filed under: uncultured bacterium
Lineage: Bacteria
Description: partial 16S ribosomal RNA
Rfam family: Bacterial small subunit ribosomal RNA
Source: RNAcentral